This 479-nucleotide long non-coding RNA is filed under the name Cricetulus griseus (Chinese hamster). Its description in RNAcentral is "lncRNA (ENSCGRG00015029789.1)". Lineage: Eukaryota; Metazoa; Chordata; Mammalia; Rodentia; Cricetidae. The record is from RNAcentral.
CAAGGCAACUUGUAGAAGGAAGGGCCUAUUUAUAGUUCCUGUUCUUCUCAUGUCUCCUGAUCUAUAUGUCCUUCUACCUUCCCUUAAAUUUAGUGAUUUUCUUUUCUCUGAGAUCAGUGAUUAUCUAAUAAGUCCAGAAAAUGGUUUCUAGACUUCCAAGAAAUAAUUUCCACUGACCAUCAACAUCCAGAGGAAACUUCAAGGCCCACAUCAUGGUUUCAGCAUCAGAGCUGUGACUAGAGCCUCUUCACAAUGAAGCUUCACAUCACAGGAUAUCAGGAGAAGGCUACAAGAAGAUGAAGUUAAACUGAGCCAGUUCUCUGCCCUUUGGAUGAUUUCAAGCUGUAUCCACUGAAAAGCCUGAAUAACAAACAGGAGCAACAGGUAAUCUGCACUGUCUCUUCAAAUACCCAGCUGACAGAAGCCAGUGAUCCUUUGGGAAAAUGGCUGGUUCCAUGUCAGUUCAGGGAACACUGACC